UUGGGGAUUUGGCUCAGUGGUAGAGCGCUUGCCUAGGAAGCACAAGGUCCUGGGUUCGAUCCCCAGCCCCCAAA
RNAcentral lists this transfer RNA (74 nucleotides) under Rattus norvegicus (Norway rat). Its description in RNAcentral is "tRNA-Pro-AGG-5-1". It matches the Rfam family "tRNA". Rfam says of the family: Transfer RNA (tRNA) molecules are approximately 80 nucleotides in length. Their secondary structure includes four short double-helical elements and three loops (D, anti-codon, and T loops). The record is from RNAcentral. Lineage: Eukaryota; Metazoa; Chordata; Mammalia; Rodentia; Muridae.